UUACAAAAAAUGUUGUGAUGCACCUAGUGCAUCCAGCAGGUGACGCUACCUGUUAUUAGAGCGCUAUUUAUUAUGAGAGCGUGAAUUCAAACGAAAUAUUCAAAUUAGUAAAUAUUAAAUGAUUAAAAUUAGUUAAAUUUUAUAUUCGAAGUAAAUAUUCAAAUCAUUU
Long non-coding RNA from Cotesia glomerata, 169 nucleotides. RefSeq lists it as uncharacterized. The record is from RefSeq and is a predicted model, not a curated record. The transcript has 3 exons. Lineage: Eukaryota; Metazoa; Arthropoda; Insecta; Hymenoptera; Braconidae.